GGAGGCGUAGCCCAGCUGGUCAGAGCGCUUGCUUGACAUGCAAGAGGUCGGUGGUUCGAGCCCACUCGUCUCCA
This 74-nucleotide transfer RNA is filed under the name Oscillospiraceae bacterium. RNAcentral describes it as "tRNA-Val". It matches the Rfam family "tRNA". From Rfam's summary of the family: Transfer RNA (tRNA) molecules are approximately 80 nucleotides in length. Their secondary structure includes four short double-helical elements and three loops (D, anti-codon, and T loops). Lineage: Bacteria; Bacillati; Bacillota; Clostridia; Eubacteriales; Oscillospiraceae. The record is from RNAcentral.